UGCCAGCCGCCGCGGUAAUACGAAAGGGGCUAGCGUUGUUCGGAAUUACUGGGCGUAAAGGGCGUGUAGGCGGCUAAUCAAGUCGGGUGUGAAAGCCCUCGGCUCAACCGAGGAAUUGCACCCGAUACUGAUUGGCUAGAGUCCGGGAGGGGGUAGCGGAAUUCCCAGUGUAGCGGUGAAAUGCGUAGAUAUUGGGAAGAACACCAGUGGCGAAGGCGGCUACCUGGACCGGAACUGACGCUGAGGCGCGAAAGCUAGGGGAGCGAAUGGGAUUAGAUA
This 279-nucleotide ribosomal RNA is filed under the name uncultured bacterium. RNAcentral describes it as "partial 16S ribosomal RNA". It matches the Rfam family "Bacterial small subunit ribosomal RNA", at positions 506 to 784 of the family's 1533-position model. The record is from RNAcentral.